ACCCUUCAGAUUUCUUACCCUUCAGAUCUAAAUAUUGGUCUGAGUGGCAAAACAGGAGGAAAGUAAAACUGAAGUGGCCUUGGAGUCUUUAAUGACAUACACGUUCAUUUCAAACAAAC
RNAcentral lists this small nucleolar RNA (119 nucleotides) under Echinops telfairi (small Madagascar hedgehog). RNAcentral describes it as "Small nucleolar RNA SNORA61 (ENSETEG00000026758.1)". The record is from RNAcentral. Lineage: Eukaryota; Metazoa; Chordata; Mammalia; Afrosoricida; Tenrecidae.